This is a long non-coding RNA of Protopterus annectens (West African lungfish), 3742 nucleotides long. RefSeq lists it as uncharacterized. NCBI's taxonomy places the organism in Eukaryota, Metazoa, Chordata, Ceratodontiformes, Protopteridae. The record is from RefSeq and is a predicted model, not a curated record. The transcript has 2 exons.
CGUUAUUGAGUAGUAGGGACGGCGGACAGAACUGAAGGGGAAACUGGGGUGGCAGACGUAUGUGGAUGUACAGUUGUGGACGUGUAGUACACUGUCGAUGGAUGCAAAGAUUGAUCUGCUUUGAUUAGCUGGGCAAUUAUUUUGUGCUGGAGCUUUGUUUCACGAUUUUUUUGGUGUUCUAGGCUGACUUUUGGGAUGAUUUAUUCUUUGUCUUUUUCUUCCAAAAUGGCUGCAUGUUUUGCUUUCUUCUACCCAGUAACUAGUCUGAAGGGCGCCACUCCUGUGCCGACUGCCAGCUGCAUGUAACUGAUAGGCUAUACAAAUUACUAUAUAGCGAUGCAGGAUUGAUCUCGUAAAUAUAAGAUUUUCAUGGGGUUUUUUCGUCCAAAAAAUCGUUCUUUGCAAAUUUUGGAUAAAUAGUCUGUUUCUUCGAGUCAUUUGAGGCUCUUUAAGUUUAUUUGGUGUUUUUUAAGAUGAGCGUGCAGAUGUAUUAAAACUUCAUUAGGCACAGGAUGAACUGGCACAGACAGAACAGCUGGAGAUGGUGGAAGGUGAUGAGGGCACAAGCAACUAGUGUAGAAAAGCCAGUGGUGGAUAAUUCAAAGGAAGGAUUUCCUGAACGGCCUCUUCCAAAAAGAAAAUGAUAAAUAAAACUGAGGACGUGAAAUGGUUUUCAAAAAAACUCCAUAAAAGCAAUGCAAUCCUCUUUUAAAAACAGGAUAAAUGUUUAUAUGGAAAAGUAUGUGGUAGCCUUAAAAUGUGGAUUGCAUUCUGAGACACUGAACAGCUGUAUGAAAUUACUAUUUAAUAUAAAUGUAUUGUCAAUUUAUUUAAGAUUAUAUUUAACCUACUAGACUUAUGCUGUUAAAGUCCCUGUUUUCAAAAAUGCAAACUUGUCAUGUUUCUGCUUUUAAUAAAGGUCUAGUGUAGGACUAAGAGAAGUAAAGGACCAAUGAAUGAAAUGGGUAGUGACUGUUGUGUGAUAGAAACCAAUAGAUAGUGUAAAACAGAGCUGGGCAUGCAUGCAAACUUGUGUGCCUAUUUGAUAAAGGGCUAGAUAGCAAUAUUCACAAAGUAAUGCAUAGGAAACAGAAGAUUUGUUGAAUGAAGUUUGGUAAACUUGAAAUGUAAAACAUGUACACAUCUAACUGUUGUAACUUUAAAAUAUGUAAUUACAAAACAAAUUACUGUUUUGUUGACAUUUGUACAGACUGGCAUGUUUCUAGUGCUUUUGAAAGGACUAGCUUCCUACAGCUCAGCUAGUCUGCAAGAGAAUGGAGUUGCUGUGUCUGGAUACCAUGAUUUAAAAACAUGUUGCAGCAUCUGAAGUAUCUGGGUAUAUAGGAACAUAAGAAUAGAACAAAGGUUGCAGGCAGAAAAUCGAAUCUGAUUUAUAAUGGCUGUUCUGCUAAAUAGUUUGAAUGACAAACCCGAACAAGGCUUGCACAACUUUGUAUAGAGUACCAGUUCUGAUUUUGUAAAAUAAGUAAAAUAUGUAGAAGGAAGGAGGGAAAAUGUGUUUUCAAAAGAAAUCUGGGUUGAGACAAAUGUAAUCGGUGCAAGAAAAGUGAAAGCAGGCGAGGACCAGUUUGUAAUAAACAGAUAAUGUAAGUUUAAAUGAAGUAAUUUUUAUUAUGGCACAAAUUGCUUUUCUCAUGUGGACAUAAGGGAGCCUAAGAAAAUUAGAAGGUAUUUAUGUAUAUUUACAAUAGUAAUGCACAAGUAAUAAUGCUACAGGAAACAGACCUGGAAAAUGAAGAAUGAAAGCCUUUGUGAAAAAAGUGAUGUUUGCUGGAAUAAGACAAGUGAAAUAAAGGGAUCUUAAUAUUAAAAGGGUAUAUAUUUAACAAUUGAACACAUGCAAGACAGAUGUGUAGUGUUGAAGUUGCUGAGGGGUGUAAAUUUAUACUAUGCUCCUAAUUCGCUCAAAAUUAGUGAGUAAAUAUGCAAGAAUUUAAUUUAUCAAGAAUGCAUCAAAGUAGCAGAAGAUUGGAACACUGUAGGAAAUGAUGCCUGUUGAGGGGGCAACAUACCUUAGUCUACUGACUAAGGGUAGAUAAUGCAGAGAAAUAUAGGCAUGCAAUAAAAUAAGAGAAAUGGAAUGUACAGUUUUCAGUGAAAUGUGGUUCCUGACUCUGAUUUCAAUGUUAAAUAUUGAAAUGAAUAUGAACCAUAAAAGUACAUCUGGAGAUUGUCAGACCUUGCACACAUGCAAUCAAGUUUUGCAGGCAUGUAAAUGUGUACUGUGGUGAUAAAUGGCAUUUUCCACUUCAUUUUUAAAAGUAAUCUUUUAAUGAUGCUAAAUCAAAUAUUAACUGAAAUGCUAUUAUAUUUGAACUUAAGCAGUAAAAACAUUGCAGAAAACUGGGAAUUAUAAACUGAAGGUAAGAGAUGUGGUCCCAAUGAAAGUAAAUUUUAUAUCAAAUAGCCACAGUAGGUAUCAGUUAAGCAUAUCAAAACAGGUUGAAGAAAAAUAUAAGUGUCUACAUAGUGAAAUAUAAGUGUCUACAUAGUAUUUGGAAAACAUGAAUGGACAUAAAGCUAUUGGUCUAAAAUAACUAGCAACAUUGUUGGCUCAAUGUUUGAGGCAUCAAAAGUUCAACAGGAUAAAUCUGGAAUUGUGAAUGGUAGGGUAGAAGUGUAUCCAGGAAGAAAUACUGAAUACAGUUAAUUAUAGAAUAGGAUUUAAAGAAGAUUUAUAGAUUGAGUAGCACACAGGAAAUGGCAAUGCAUAUAAGAAAAUUACAUUUUUGGGGGGGGGUUAGAAGUAGAAAGAGUAUUAAAAUAAAAGCAUUUGAAAUUUAAAGGAAGAAUGGGUAAUCAAAAUAUGGAUAAAUCCCCUGUUAGUGAUGGAAUUCCAAUAGAAGUGUUGGGGGGGAGGAACAGAGGUAAUAGAAGUCUGGCUAAUCCUUUUAAGCUAUUUAUUUCCUUUUUUCUAGGAAGGGAUAUAGCUUGAACUUGCAAAAAAGCAGUAAUGUUUGAUGUACCACAAAAGGAAAAAAAAAUCCAGUGUCAUACAGACCUAUUCAGUCUGAAUCAUCAUUACAAAGUGAAUGGCAAAGAUAUUGCCAGUGACAGACAUGGAUCAAUUGCUGUAGAUUUGUAGAAGGUAGGCAGAUGUUUGACAGUUCAUUUGCAAUGGACAAGGUAAUGUUAAUAGGUUUGGGUGCUGAAAACAGUGGACAAACUGAGUUGGAAUUUAUCAAGGGCUCUUUCCACAAACAGACAUUUGGGGUCCGAAUGGAGAGGUAAAUCAGCAAGCAACGAAGAGUAGUAUUGCUGGAAUUUAAUUCAUCCUAAAGUCUUGAGGUUCCUCAGGACCUUGUUUUUCACAUCUCACCAAGCAAACACUGGUCUGUAGACUAUUUUUAUAGCGUGUAUCCUAGAAGUAAGUUAGAAACAAGUAGACUGCUGGGUGCACAAAACCAAAGAUAAAGUAACCAGUCUUGGUAGGUGUAUUUUAUGGCAGGACUGGAGAAAUUGCUGUGGAGAAUCCUCAAGAUGUAACACUCCAAUGUGACCAGGCCUGGCACAGGAAGAGGGGGGUUCUGUUGAAGGAAGUAGCAGUCCACAAAUUACAACUGGUGUGCCAAAAAAGAGCCCUAAAGGUAGUGGACUGUUGAGGAUAAGUUAUGCAUUUUUCCUAUUAUGCAAGAAGCCCAGAAUUCCCAGGUGCAAGAUGUACAAAGAUUAGAGGAAAAAAUACUUUCACAAGAAAACUUGUCGGAAGCUUCACUUUAAA